Molecule: ribosomal RNA, 460 nt
Filed under: uncultured bacterium
Lineage: Bacteria
Description: partial 16S ribosomal RNA
Rfam family: Bacterial small subunit ribosomal RNA
Source: RNAcentral
CCUACGGGAGGCAGCAGUGAGGAAUAUUGGUCAAUGGGCGUAAGCCUGAACCAGCCAAGUCGCGUGAGGGAUGAAGGUUCUAUGGAUCGUAAACCUCUUUUAUAAGGGAAUAAAGUGCGGGACGUGUCCCGUUUUGUAUGUACCUUAUGAAUAAGGAUCGGCUAACUCCGUUCCAGCAGCCGCGGUAAUACGGAGGAUCCGAGCGUUAUCCGGAUUUAUUGGGUUUAAAGGGUGCGUAGGCUGCCUUUUAAGUCAGCUGUGAAAUUCUGUGGCUCAACCAUAGAAUUGCCGUUGAAACUGGGGGGCUUGAGUAUGUUUGAGGCAGGCGGAAUGCGUGGUGUAGCGGUGAAAUGCUUAGAUAUCACGCCGAACCCCGAUUGCGAAGGCAGCCUGCCAAGCCAUGACUGACGCUGAUGCACGAAAGCGUGGGGAUCAAACAGGAUUAGAUACCCUUGUAGUC